GUGAUUGCUCUCUGAGCGUUAACUAUAUCCAUCUACACCUGUGAACUGUUGAUUGACUUCGGUCAAUUACUUUUACAAACAUUGUGUAAUGAACGUCAUGUUAUUAUAACAAAAAUAACUUUCAACAACGGAUCUCUUGGCUCUCGCAUCGAUGAAGAACGCAGCGAAAUGCGAUAAGUAAUGUGAAUUGCAGAAUUCAGUGAAUCAUCGAAUCUUUGAACGCAACUUGCGCUCUCUGGUAUUCCGGAGAGCAUGCCUGUUUGAGUAUCAUGAAAUCUCAACCAUUAGGGUUUCUUAAUGGCUUGGAAUUGGGUGUUGCCAGUCGCCUGGCUCGCCUUAAAAGAGUUAGCGUGUUUAACUUGUCUAUCUGGCGUAAUAAGUUUCGCUGGUGUCGGCUUGAGAAGUACGCUUCUAAUCGUCUUCGGACAAUUCUUGAACUCUGGUCUCAAAUCAGGUAGGGCUACCCGCUGAACUUAAGCAUAUCAAUAAGGCGGAGGAA
Molecule: ribosomal RNA, 499 nt
Filed under: Cutaneotrichosporon moniliiforme
Lineage: Eukaryota; Fungi; Basidiomycota; Tremellomycetes; Trichosporonales; Trichosporonaceae
Description: eukaryotic LSU rRNA
Rfam family: 5.8S ribosomal RNA (bases 117-270)
Source: RNAcentral